CAGUCGCCACGGUAAUACGGAGGGAGCUAGCGUUGUUCGGAAUUACUGGGCGUAAAGCGCACGUAGGCGGCUUUGUAAGUCAGAGGUGAAAGCCUGGAGCUCAACUCCAGAACUGCCUUUGAGACUGCAUCGCUUGAAUCCAGGAGAGGUGAGUGGAAUUCCGAGUGUAGAGGUGAAAUUCGUAGAUAUUCGGAAGAACACCAGUGGCGAAGGCGGCUCACUGGACUGGUAUUGACGCUGAGGUGCGAAAGCGUGGGGAGCAAACAGGAUUAGAUACCCCGGUAGUCCCUGUCUCUUAUAC
This 301-nucleotide ribosomal RNA is filed under the name uncultured bacterium. RNAcentral's name for it is "partial 16S ribosomal RNA". It matches the Rfam family "Bacterial small subunit ribosomal RNA", at positions 509 to 807 of the family's 1533-position model. The record is from RNAcentral.